This 223-nucleotide ribosomal RNA is filed under the name unidentified soil organism R6-23. RNAcentral's name for it is "partial 16S ribosomal RNA". It matches the Rfam family "Bacterial small subunit ribosomal RNA", at positions 1280 to 1501 of the family's 1533-position model. The record is from RNAcentral.
AGCCGGUCGUAGUCCGGAUCNCAGUCUNCAACUCGNCUGCGUGAAGUCGGAAUCGCUAGUAAUCGUGAAUCAGCGAUGUCNCGGUGAAAACGUUCCCGGGUCUUGUACACACCGCCCGUCACACCAUGGGAGUUGAUUGCACCAGAAGUAGGUAGCCUAACCGCAAGGGGGGCGCUUACCACGGUGUGGUCAAUGACUGGGGUGAAGUCGUAACAAGUUAACC